CCCUGCGUGGCGAAGUAUGGUAGACGCGCCAGUUUCAGAUACUGGUGUCCGAAAGGGCGGGUAGGUUCGACUCCUAUCGCAGGGACCA
This 88-nucleotide transfer RNA is filed under the name Caulobacter phage CcrPW. Its description in RNAcentral is "tRNA-Leu". It matches the Rfam family "tRNA". Rfam says of the family: Transfer RNA (tRNA) molecules are approximately 80 nucleotides in length. Their secondary structure includes four short double-helical elements and three loops (D, anti-codon, and T loops). Further hydrogen bonds mediate the characteristic L-shaped molecular structure. tRNAs have two regions of fundamental functional importance: the anti-codon, which is responsible for specific mRNA codon recognition, and the 3' end, to which the tRNAs corresponding amino acid is attached (by aminoacyl-tRNA synthetases). tRNAs cope with the degeneracy of the genetic code in two manners: having more than one tRNA (with a specific anti-codon) for a particular amino acid; and 'wobble' base-pairing, i.e. permitting non-standard base-pairing at the 3rd anti-codon position. The record is from RNAcentral. Lineage: Duplodnaviria; Heunggongvirae; Uroviricota; Caudoviricetes; Jeanschmidtviridae.